RNAcentral lists this ribosomal RNA (362 nucleotides) under Holometopus dehaani. Its description in RNAcentral is "partial 16S ribosomal RNA". The record is from RNAcentral. Lineage: Eukaryota; Metazoa; Arthropoda; Malacostraca; Decapoda; Sesarmidae.
CGUUAGUUUUUUAAUUGGAAUCUUGUAUGAAUGGUUUGACAAAAGAAAAUCUGUCUUUAUAAUUAUUUAUUGAAUUUAACUUUUAAGUGAAAAGGCUUAAAUAAAUUAAAAAGACGAUAAGACCCUAUAAAGCUUAAUAUUAAAUUUUUAUUUAAUUAAAUUUUAAAUUAUAAUAAAGAUUUGGUAAAUAAAUUUUAUUUUGUUGGGGUGAUAAUGGUAAAAUGAUUAUUAACUGUUAAUUUUUUUAGACAAAAAUAAAUGAAUAAUAAUUUGUUGUAAAGGAUCCUGUAUUAAAGAUUAAAAGUUUAAGUUACUUUAGGGAUAACAGCGUUAUUUUUUUUGAGAGUUCUUAUCGAGAAAAA